RNAcentral lists this small RNA (1382 nucleotides) under Histoplasma capsulatum. RNAcentral describes it as "hypothetical RNA". The record is from RNAcentral. RNAcentral also lists the same sequence under 1 other name. Lineage: Eukaryota; Fungi; Ascomycota; Eurotiomycetes; Onygenales; Ajellomycetaceae.
UCGGCAUUUGGCUCUUGGCGAUGGCGGACGCGCGAUGGAACUUGAAACCUUGAGCCAUGAUUCAUUCAAGGCUGAGGAAAGAGCCGCCUUCGGCAUUUAUGAAUCUGUCCGUGGAGGGGGUGAACUGUGUCUGUACAUACCCCCUGUGCGGCUGCGAUGAAAAUCCGGGGUACUGAAGGGACGGCGAUGGUAAUCAUAUCUGUAUCACCAUCAUUUAUGGAGUGAAUUAUCAUAUCAACAGGGUUGUUUGACACACCCACACACCCACACGUACACAACACAGGAGUUUGAAGUUCAGUUGGUGUUGGCGCUGGUUUCAAAUUUUUUCAGAGGAGAAGAGGGGGAAGAGGAAGACGAAGGAGAGCCUGCGCUUUUAAUUUUUGAUAUUUCGGCGAUCGUGACACAAGGAAGAAGAGGAGCCCAGUGAGUUUGCUGAAACAGACUAUUACUGCUAAUACGACCCUUUUAACAGGUUGGCACGGAGUGGGAGACGGGUUGGUUGAAAGAAACAGUAAUAACACGAUUCCAUGCUGUUCACCUCUUUGAUGGGUAGGUCAUCUAUGGACCUUUAUCGAUGGAAAAAAACUGCCGCCUGAAUGAUGCUUGCUUGAGUAAUGUUAUCAAUACUCCUAACUAGUAUACAAUAAUUUUCUGUUUGGUUGGAUGGGAUGAUGUGGCCUUUGUUGUGGUCUGUUUCAUCAUCAAGCAACAAUGCAUGAUUCAUGAUGCUUUUUCGACCCCGGCUCGAGAUCUGACAUUUUUGCGGGGAAGGGAGGUGGGGGGUGCGAAGAAAAGGGACUUUGCUUUUCUUGAAGGCGAAAGAUAGGCGCGCGAGCAAGGUUCUGGCCUGUUCACUGUCGUCCGAAUUUCUCCUUUGGGCAAUCUAGGGGAACAAGGAAAACCUGCUUCUCCACGAACGGCGGAGGGAUCGUGCAUUUGCUCCUGCGUACGCAGCUCUGUGAGAUUACUUCCUGUCAGUUACCCCCGUAGUUCAGUACUAACGAACGAACAAACGAACAAACGGGGGGUUCCUGGCUUGCUUUGUCUGUUUGUUUGCCCUUCACCCACUUCACUCCCUGCAUCCAUAGUAUCCAUGCGGGACGAAAUAUCUAUCAAGUGACAGAACAGUGAGAGACAAAGCUAGGAUCGAGCCCUGGUACGAAGCUGCAAUGUUGUUUUUGUUAUGCACGUCGCGUCCAACCGCUCUGCCUGCUGUCUGUUGUGUGCCGGCUGGAGCACUCGAGUGCGUUCCUGACUGACACUCGCGCUUGAUUUUGAUUGAUGAUAUAAUGACCCAGGGGAUCGCGAUUGUGAUCAGGGAACAGGGUCAAAUAAAUAGAAUGAUGAUACAGAGACAUUUACAGUACAUAUACUCUAGAAGG